CGUGAGUGAUGACGGCCUUAGGGUUGUAAAGCUCUUUCGCACACGAGGAUAAUGACGGUAGUGUGAGAAGAAGCCCCGGCUAACUUCGUGC
This 91-nucleotide ribosomal RNA is filed under the name uncultured bacterium. RNAcentral's name for it is "partial 16S ribosomal RNA". It matches the Rfam family "Bacterial small subunit ribosomal RNA", at positions 400 to 508 of the family's 1533-position model. The record is from RNAcentral.